GAAUUUCCAAGAAAGCUGGAGCAUAUUCCUUGUGUCGGAGGAGUUACAAACCUGACAGUUGACUGCACCUUCACGUUUACUCUUGUGAAUGUAUUUUAGGAGUAAGCAAAUGCCUGAUUCCCCAGGCAUUGUCAUGUGAAGGUGGAUCAUCUCUCUAUGACUUCAGAUGGGUUCUGCAUAGGUCUUGAAUUUCACAGAAAAGGACCAGAUUGGAGGAUUGAGGCCAGAAUAACAUUCAAAAUCAGAAAAAGAGAACAUGUUCCUUCUGUUUGGUUCCCACAUUGGAAGCUUCCACUCUUCCAUCAAACUGACUCUGAAAUACUAUUCCCAGCAAUUUGUUUCUUGGAUACCACUGUGAAAGUUUUCAGUGGCCAGCUUACCACCACAUUGUAUAAGAAAUCAACUGAUCACUAUAGCUAUCUCUAAAUCAGCAGCUCUCAUUUUAAGCACAUGACUAUAUCCAUUGUCUACAGUCAAGCUCUAUGCUACAAUAGUAUCUGCUCUGAUCCCAUUGAUCAGGAUGCACACUUAAAGGAUCUUGAGUACAGUACCAUCCUAAAACAAGCCACUCAAUCAACAGAGCCAGAUGCAAACCCCACUCCAAUCUACUACAAUAACAACUCCAAGAGAAGAGCCACUGAAUACCUUCUGCUGUAACCUCUAGCCCCCAGCCUGAACACCUGAGACACAUCAGUAAUGACUUCCAACCCCUCCUGGAAAGCAACAGCCAUCUGAUAGUAGCCAUGGAGGGUAGCCCUGUCUUAGUUUCUCCUCCCCAACCUCAAGCGCCAUUUCUCUAGCAACGGAUUUCCUAACUCCUAUU
Long non-coding RNA from Alligator sinensis (Chinese alligator), 823 nucleotides. RefSeq lists it as uncharacterized. The record is from RefSeq and is a predicted model, not a curated record. Lineage: Eukaryota; Metazoa; Chordata; Crocodylia; Alligatoridae. The transcript is spliced from 3 exons.